AUACGGAAGGUCCAGGCGUUAUCCGGAUUUAUUGGGUUUAAAGGGAGCGCAGGCCGGUGUGUAAGCGUGACGUCAAAUACAGCCGCUCAACGGUUGUCCGCGUCGCGAACUGCAUGCCUUGAGUACGCUGCAAGUGGGCGGAAUUCGUGGUGUAGCGGGGAAAUGCGUAGAUAUCACGAAGAACUCCGAUUGCGAAGGCAGCUGACAGCAGUUUUACUGACGCUCAUGCUCGAAAGUGCGGGUAUCGAACAGGAUUAGAUACCCUGGUAGUCCGCACGGUAAACGAUGGAUGCCCGCUGUUUGCCUUUUUGGUAAGCGGCCAAGCGAAAGCAUUAAGCAUCCCACCUGGGGAGUACGCCGGCAACGGUGAAACUCAAAGGAAUUGACGGGG
Molecule: ribosomal RNA, 391 nt
Filed under: uncultured bacterium
Lineage: Bacteria
Description: partial 16S ribosomal RNA
Rfam family: Bacterial small subunit ribosomal RNA
Source: RNAcentral